GAUGAACGCUGGCGGCGUGCCUAAUACAUGCAAGUCGAGCGAACGGACGAGAAGCUUGCUUCUCUGAUGUUAGCGGCGGACGGGUGAGUAACACGUGGAUAACCUACCUAUAAGACUGGGAUAACUUCGGGAAACCGGAGCUAAUACCGGAUAAUAUUUUGAACCGCAUGGUUCAAAAGUGAAAGACGGUCUUGCUGUCACUUAUAGAUGGAUCCGCGCUGCAUUAGCUAGUUGGUAAGGUAACGGCUUACCAAGGCAACGAUGCAUAGCCGACCUGAGAGGGUGAUCGGCCACACUGGAACUGAGACACGGUCCAGACUCCUACGGGAGGCAGCAGUAGGGAAUCUUCCGCAAUGGGCGAAAGCCUGACGGAGCAACGCCGCGUGAGUGAUGAAGGUCUUCGGAUCGUAAAACUCUGUUAGUAGGGAAGAACAUAUGUGUAAGUAACUGUGCACAUCUUGACGGUACCUAAUCAGAAAGCCACGGCUAACUACGUGCCAGCAGCCGCGGUAAUACGUAGGUGGCAAGCGUUAUCCGGAAUUAUUGGGCGUAAAGCGCGCGUAGGCGGUUUUUUAAGUCUGAUGUGAAAGCCCACGGCUCAACCGUGGAGGGUCAUUGGAAACUGGAAAACUUGAGUGCAGAAGAGGAAAGUGGAAUUCCAUGUGUAGCGGUGAAAUGCGCAGAGAUAUGGAGGAACACCAGUGGCGAAGGCGACUUUCUGGUCUGUAACUGACGCUGAUGUGCGAAAGCGUGGGGAUCAAACAGGAUUAGAUACCCUGGUAGUCCACGCCGUAAACGAUGAGUGCUAAGUGUUAGGGGGUUUCCGCCCCUUAGUGCUGCAGCUAACGCAUUAAGCACUCCGCCUGGGGAGUACGACCGCAAGGUUGAAACUCAAAGGAAUUGACGGGGACCCGCACAAGCGGUGGAGCAUGUGGUUUAAUUCGAAGCAACGCGAAGAACCUUACCAAAUCUUGACAUCCUUUGACAACUCUAGAGAUAGAGCCUUCCCCUUCGGGGGACAAGGUGACAGGUGGUGCAUGGUUGUCGUCAGCUCGUGUCGUGAGAUGUUGGGUUAAGUCCCGCAACGAGCGCAACCCUUAAGCUUAGUUGCCAUCAUUAAGUUGGGCACUCUAAGUUGACUGCCGGUGACAAACCGGAGGAAGGUGGGGAUGACGUCAAAUCAUCAUGCCCCUUAUGAUUUGGGCUACACACGUGCUACAAUGGACAAUACAAAGGGCAGCGAAACCGCGAGGUCAAGCAAAUCCCAUAAAGUUGUUCUCAGUUCGGAUUGUAGUCUGCAACUCGACUACAUGAAGCUGGAAUCGCUAGUAAUCGUAGAUCAGCAUGCUACGGUGAAUACGUUCCCGGGUCU
RNAcentral lists this ribosomal RNA (1372 nucleotides) under uncultured bacterium. RNAcentral describes it as "bacterial SSU rRNA". It matches the Rfam family "Bacterial small subunit ribosomal RNA", at positions 28 to 1381 of the family's 1533-position model. The record is from RNAcentral.